UACGAAGGGGGCUAGCGUUGUUCGGAAUUACUGGGCGUAAAGCGCGCGCAGGCGGUCUUCCAAGUCAGUGGUGAAAGCCCGGAGCUCAACUCCGGAACUGCCAUUGAAACUGUUAGACUUGAGGACGAGAGAGGUGAGUGGAAUUCCCAGUGUAGAGGUGAAAUUCGUAGAUAUUGGGAAGAACACCGGUGGCGAAGGCGGGCUCACUGGCUCGUAUCUGACGCUCAGGCGCGACAGCGUGGGGAGUCAAACAGG
RNAcentral lists this ribosomal RNA (255 nucleotides) under uncultured bacterium. Its description in RNAcentral is "partial 16S ribosomal RNA". It matches the Rfam family "Bacterial small subunit ribosomal RNA", at positions 524 to 776 of the family's 1533-position model. The record is from RNAcentral.